AUUGAACGCUGGCGGCAUGCCUUACACAUGCAAGUCGAACGGUAACAGGUCUUCGGACGCUGACGUGUGGCGAACGGGUGAGUAAUACAUCGGAACGUGCCUAGUAGUGGGGGAUAACUACUCGAAAGAGUGGCUAAUACCGCAUGAGACCUACGGAUGAAAGCAGGGGAUCGCAAGACCUUGUGCUACUAGAGCGGCCGAUGGCAGAUUAGGUAGUUGGUGGGAUAAAAGCUUACCAAGCCGACGAUCUGUAGCUGGUCUGGGAGGACGAUCAGCCACACUGGGACUGAGACACGGCCCAGACUCCUACGGGAGGCAGCAGUGGGGAAUUUUGGACAAUGGGCGCAAGCCUGAUCCAGCAAUGCCGCGUGCAGGAUGAAGGCCUUCGGGUUGUAAACUGCUUUUGUACGGAACGAAAAGCCCCGGGUUAAUACCCUGGGGUCAUGACGGUACCGUAAGAAUAAGCACCGGCUAACUACGUGCCAGCCGCCGCAGUAA
This 498-nucleotide ribosomal RNA is filed under the name uncultured bacterium. RNAcentral's name for it is "partial 16S ribosomal RNA". It matches the Rfam family "Bacterial small subunit ribosomal RNA", at positions 30 to 523 of the family's 1533-position model. The record is from RNAcentral.